Molecule: ribosomal RNA, 496 nt
Filed under: uncultured bacterium
Lineage: Bacteria
Description: partial 16S ribosomal RNA
Rfam family: Bacterial small subunit ribosomal RNA
Source: RNAcentral
AUGAACGCUGGCGGCGUGCCUAAUACAUGCAAGUCUAGCGAACGGACGAGAAGCUUGCUUCUCUGAUGUUAGCGGCGGACGGGUGAGUAACACGUGGAUAACCUACCUAUAAGACUGGGAUAACUUCGGGAAACCGUAGCUAAUACCGGAUAAUAUUUUGAACCGCAUGGUUCAAAAGUUAAAGACGGUCUUGCUGUCACUUAUAGAUGGAUCCGCGCUGCAUUAGCUAGUUGGUAAGGUAACGGCUUACCAAGGCAACGAUGCAUAGCCGACCUGAGAGGGUGAUCGGCCACACUGGAACUGAGACACGGUCCAGACUCCUACGGGAGGCAGCAGUAGGGAAUCUUCCGCAAUGGGCGAAAGCCUGACGGAGCAACGCCGCGUGAGUGAUGAAGGUCUUCGGAUCGUAAAACUCUGUUAUUAGGGAAGAACAUAUGUGUAAGUAACUGUGCACAUCUUGACGGUACCUAAUCAGAAAGCCACGGCUAACUACGUG